RNAcentral lists this unclassified non-coding RNA (427 nucleotides) under uncultured fungus. RNAcentral describes it as "partial contains small subunit ribosomal RNA, internal transcribed spacer 1, and 5.8S ribosomal RNA". The stretch from base 1 to 73 matches the Rfam family "Eukaryotic small subunit ribosomal RNA", at positions 1759 to 1831 of the family's 1831-position model. Lineage: Eukaryota; Fungi. The record is from RNAcentral.
GCAAACUUGGUCAUUUAGAGGAAGUAAAAGUCGUAACAAGGUUUCCGUAGGUGAACCUGCGGAAGGAUCAUUAGAAUAAAAGAAAGAUCGAUCCCGACGAACGUGAGGGGACGAUCGAAUCCACAUCCAUCCCCGUGUGCACUCAUCGACCGUUUGCUUUGGCAGGAAAAAGGAGCCUUCGAUCCGGGGGGCGCCGGGAGGACGCACGCGUGUAUUCGUAUACAUAAUAAUAUAUAUGUAUACGCACGCGCACGCGCGCAGCCUCGGCCUGCCAGAGUUUUUUUUCUUCUCCUACGAACUCGCGCCUUUUUCUUCUGUUUACUUUGAUCGGACUGAACCUUCGUCUCGAUUCUGUUUGCAAUCGGUCGAAACGAAUACAACUUUCAACAACGGAUCUCUUGGCUCUCGCAUCGAUGAAGAACGCAGC